CUACGUGCCAGCAGCCGCGGUAAUACGGAGGGUGCGAGCGUUAAUCGGAAUAACUGGGCGUAAAGGGCACGCAGGCGGUGACUUAAGUGAGGUGUGAAAGCCCCGGGCUUAACCUGGGAAUUGCAUUUCAUACUGGGUCGCUAGAGUACUUUAGGGAGGGGUAGAAUUCCACGUGUAGCGGUGAAAUGCGUAGAGAUGUGGAGGAAUACCGAAGGCGAAGGCAGCCCCUUGGGAAUGUACUGACGCUCAUGUGCGAAAGCGUGGGGAGCAAACAGGAUUAGAUACCCUGGUAGUCCACGCCCUAAACGAUGUCAAUUAGCUGUUGGGCAACUUGAUUGCUUAGUAGCGUAGCUAACGCGUGAAAUUGACCGCCUGGGGAGUACGGUCGCAAGAUUAAAACUCAAAGGAAUUGACGGGGACCCGCACAAGCGGUGGAUGAUGUGGAUUAAUUCGAUGCAACGCGAAGAACCUUACCUGGUCUUGACAU
RNAcentral lists this ribosomal RNA (487 nucleotides) under uncultured bacterium. RNAcentral describes it as "bacterial SSU rRNA". It matches the Rfam family "Bacterial small subunit ribosomal RNA", at positions 501 to 987 of the family's 1533-position model. The record is from RNAcentral.